GAUGAACGCUGGCGGCGUGCCUAAUACAUGCAAGUCGAGCGAACGGACGAGAAGCUUGCUUGUCUGAUGUUAGCGGCGGACGGGUGAGUAACACGUGGAUAACCUACCUAUAAGACUGGGAUAACUUCGGGAAACCGGAGCUAAUACCGGAUAAUAUUUUGAACCGCAUGGUUCAAAAGUGAAGGACGGUCUUGCUGUCACUUAUAGAUGGAUCCGCGCUGCAUUAGCUAGUUGGUAAGGUAACGGCUUACCAAGGCAACGAUGCAUAGCCGACCUGAGAGGGUGAUCGGCCACACUGGAACUGAGACACGGUCCAGACUCCUACGGGAGGCAGCAGUAGGGAAUCUUCCGCAAUGGGCGAAAGCCUGACGGAGCAACGCCGCGUGAGUGAUGAAGGUCUUCGGAUCGUAAAACUCUGUUAUUAGGGAAGAACAUAUGUGUAAGUAAAUGUGCACAUCUUGACGGUACCUAAUCAGAAAGCCACGGCUAACUACGUG
Molecule: ribosomal RNA, 497 nt
Filed under: uncultured bacterium
Lineage: Bacteria
Description: partial 16S ribosomal RNA
Rfam family: Bacterial small subunit ribosomal RNA
Source: RNAcentral